AACGCGAAGAACCUUACCUGGGCUCGAAAUGUAGAGGACGACGUUAGAGAUAACGUUUCUCGAAAGGGUCUCUAUAUAGGUGCUGCAUGGCUGUCGUCAGCUCGUGCCGUGAGGUGUUUGGUUAAGUCCAGCAACGAGCGCAACCCUUAUCGUUAGUUGCCAACGCGUGAAGGCGGGAACUCUAACGAGACUGCCUAGGUUAACUAGGAGGAAGGUGAGGAUGACGUCAAGUCCGCAUGGCCUUUAUGUCCAGGGCUACACACGUGCUACAAUGGUCGCCACAGAAGGCAGCAGAACCGCGAGGUGAAGCAAAUCCUAAUAAAGGCGAUCUCAGUUCAGAUUGCAGUCUGCAACUCGGCUGCAUGAAGUUGGAAUUGCUAGUAAUGGCGUGUCAGCAACAACGCCGUGAAUACGUUCCCGGGCCUUGUA
This 429-nucleotide ribosomal RNA is filed under the name uncultured Chlamydiae bacterium. Its description in RNAcentral is "bacterial SSU rRNA". It matches the Rfam family "Bacterial small subunit ribosomal RNA", at positions 958 to 1385 of the family's 1533-position model. The record is from RNAcentral. Lineage: Bacteria; Pseudomonadati; Chlamydiota; Chlamydiia.